Long non-coding RNA from Trifolium pratense (red clover), 616 nucleotides. RefSeq lists it as uncharacterized. The record is from RefSeq and is a predicted model, not a curated record. The transcript is spliced from 3 exons. Lineage: Eukaryota; Viridiplantae; Streptophyta; Magnoliopsida; Fabales; Fabaceae.
GGUAUUGAGAAGACCACUGGAAUUCUAUGGAACAUAACUGGUGGAAGUGAUAUGACCUUGUUUGAGGACAUACAAGCUAAUGAACGUGUGAAUUUGAACCAAUUCAAUCAGCCAUUUUUGUGGAAUCAGUUCAUUGAUUCAACACAUACAUAUUUUGACAAGGUUGAGGUGGUGUAACUUUGAACCAGUCUGCCAUCUCAUGUACUUAAUGCAGCAAUGUUGUAUUGGCCAAUGCCUAAUGCAUUGUAUAUUGAAGGUUAUGCUCGAGGUAUCAAAUUUCAUCUUGUUUUAACAAGAAUAAUGAAAUGAAAUGUUAACCAUCCUAUAUUUUCAGCCAAUAUUCCUUGUUAGACAUAUCUUUUGUGAAUUUGGACUUUCAUAAAAAUUAUUUUACAUCAAACAAUUGUGACAUAUCUGAUGUGUACCUUUCUAGGGAAAAUCAGGUAAAUUGUUUGUGAUUGUGGUUGACUGAAAAAUAUUGAGUUGUGUUACAUGUGAGGUACUGAAUGCAUUAUAGGGAUUGCUUUGGAAUUUCUUUGGUUGAUUUAUAUGCUAAAUGGAGAUAAUGUAUGAGUGCACUGCUAUUGUAUUGCUGUCCAGUUUUUAGGCUUGGUAU